AAAUUAGUAUCUCUUUACUUUUGGUGCGACUUUGAUGUUUAAUGAAGUUGUUCUUUGUUUUUAUUAUAGAAAAAAUAAACCCAGGUUGAGUUUUUAGUUUUAUCCAUGAAGAAGGAAACACAAGCUGAGUUCUUAUGCAGCAAUCUUUACAUUUUUGGUUUAAGCCAUGUAAAAAAAUAAGUGUUUGUUGAAUUGUCUCUGUGAGAAUUAUGGAUAUUCAUUUUCAUAACUGGGUUGCAGGAAUAAAAAUUUGAGAUGAUACUGCUAUUUAGCUGCAAAGCAGCAGUGAUGACCAAAAACAAAUAUAGGUAUUCGUAAUUCAGUUCCAUUACAAUUCUUUAUAUCGGGUUUAAAAGGGAACUGUAUUUUUUUUCUUUGGCUUUGUUGUAGAGUGGUGGAUUCUUUGAAAGUUAAAACAUCAUGCAGGUAGACCUUUAGUAAACACGGUGGAUCCUUUGGAUUAUGGGUAUGAUGGAGAAAACGUUAAAUGUUGCCUCAGGAACAGAGCCAUGGCUGCAUUGCAACCAGCACCAACUAAGGUGACCAAACACCAGUUGGGUAUAGAGAACCAUAUUUCUGACACACAAGAAAAUCUCUAAACCUAAAUUUCUCCCGAUUGUGAAUAUUCAAAUCAUUUCUUUUGUAGCCUAUCGUUACCACAGAAGAAACAAUACAUAUGCAGAUUCGAAUCGGUGGUGGCGGAGUCUUGGAGUUGUGAGUCUUGUGACUGAAUGGAAUUUCGCAAGAGACAACCUGAAUUGAAUCUUCUUAUGGAGCUUGGGUAGUUAUAAGAAAUUUUAAUAGCUAAGCCAGUAAAAGGUUUGGGAGGACUGAAAGAUGUUUUUUUGUCAACUUAUAACUCAUAUUUGAACUAGGUUAUU
This is a long non-coding RNA of Papaver somniferum (opium poppy), 881 nucleotides long. RefSeq lists it as uncharacterized. Lineage: Eukaryota; Viridiplantae; Streptophyta; Magnoliopsida; Ranunculales; Papaveraceae. The record is from RefSeq and is a predicted model, not a curated record. The transcript is spliced from 3 exons.